AGGACAGGACAUCCAGGGGACACCUAAAGCUAUUCGUGCCACCAGUGACAGAGCCACGGUUGCAGCCUGGUUCCAGGGUGAGGUCUCAUCAGGCCCACUUGACUAAGAGGAAUAACCACGGUCUCCAAAUCUAGUUUUAUCAGAAAUGAAAGUGAUACUGUGACUAUAUCUGCUCGAUACCUGUCUCUUAUCUCAAUUAUUCCAAACUUAGGAGACUGCUUCCCUGGCCAACUCCAACAGUAGGAGUCUAUCUCUCAACUCAGCCGGCCUCUGCGUUGGAUCUCUUUGUCUCGAAGAUUUGCAACUCUUUCUGGCAACCUCAGAAAUGGUGUGGCCACGGUGGAGUCUCGUUCCAUCUGUGUUCUCUUCAACUAAUGAAAAACUAUGGAGGUCUCAUUAGAUACACGGGAAGUCUCUGUGCUUUGGAAUUGGCUGAUCGAGAAUUUGGAGAACGGCAGUCAUCGUGGACAAUGAUGCACACCACUGUAAGGGGGCCAGCACGCGGUGAGUACUUGAUGGAUGGCAGCCCGAUGUGUUGAAGAGCAGUUACUUGCACGGCUGCAAGAGGGAAAUAUAAAAAGCAAUGGGAGAAGGGGCAGGGAGAGGAUCAGGAGACAGCCUCUUGCUCAUCGAGACUGACCUGAAAGUCUUGGCACCAAAGGGCAAUUGAGCUUUCUGCUUUGCCGUGAACGAAAAGUGAGAGGCCAGUCUUAAAUUUCAGCUCUGGGGUCCAGAAUGCCUAUUUUUACCAGUGUGCUGUGCAAAUCAUAUAAGGAUUGAGUGGCCAUUUAGUUUUAUCUUCCCUUGCUGGCCUGCUGUUUAACCGGGGGCUGGGAUCUGCUUUGUGUUAAAGAUUAUCUCCCCGGAGAAAGCGUAAUCUGGUCUUAUUAUGUCUCGUAGGUGGAGGCCAACUGCUUUCCCACGGUCUCCGUCUGAAUCCUGCCUUCCCC
This 950-nucleotide long non-coding RNA is filed under the name Felis catus (domestic cat). Its description in RNAcentral is "lncRNA (ENSFCAG00000053728.1)". Lineage: Eukaryota; Metazoa; Chordata; Mammalia; Carnivora; Felidae. The record is from RNAcentral.